RNA transcript from Sapajus apella (tufted capuchin), 856 nucleotides. It is a transcript of the gene named surfeit locus protein 1-like, with no coding region annotated. The transcript is spliced from 3 exons. The record is from RefSeq and is a predicted model, not a curated record. Lineage: Eukaryota; Metazoa; Chordata; Mammalia; Primates; Cebidae.
AUGCGAGGUUCUAAGAAGUUCUCUGCUGGCUGGACGGAGGUGGCCUGGAGGCCAAGCAGGUGUGGCAGUUCUGCAGCAGACUCGUUUGCCACAAAAGCGGAAGAUGACUCCUUUCUCCAGUGGGUCCUGCUCGUCAUCCCUGUGACUGCCUUUGGCUUGGGGACAUGGCAGGUCCAGCGUCGGAAGUGGAAGCCGAACCUGAUUGCAGAGUUAGAGUCCAGAGUUCUGGCUGAGCCUGUUCCUCUGCCUGCAGACCCAAUGGAACUGAAAAAUCUGGAGUAUAGGCCAGCGAAAGUCAGGGGGUGCUUUGAUCUCUCCAAGGAGCUGUAUAUGAUGCCCCGGACUAUGGUGGACCCUGCCUGGGAGGCCGGCCGCAUCUCCUCCUCAGCUGAGACUGGAACCUAUGUGGCUACUCCCUUCCAGUGCACCCACCUAGGAUUGAGGGGGAAGUGGACCUCCUUGGAAUGGUGAGGCUGACGGAAACUGGAAAGUCUUUUGUCCCCGAGAACAAUCCAGAAAGGAACCACUGGCAUUACUGGGACCUGGAGGCUAUGGCCAGAAUCACUGGCGCAGAGCCCAUCUUCAUUGAUGUUGACUUCAAAAGCACAGUCCCUGGAGGACCCAUAGGAAGGCAAGCCAGAGUCACUCUGAGGAAGGAGCAUUUGCAGUACAUCAACCCGUUGAGUAUGGACUCUGCAGCUACAUCAUACCUGUGGUUUAAUAAAUUCAUAUGUGGAACACCUGGUGUGUGAGACCAGCUGCUAAAGCCCUAUCCCUGAAUAAUGACAUAUUUGAAAAGACUACCUUUAUGCUGGAUCAUGUACUAUUGGGAUAAAUAAAAGUUCUGGGCCUUCUA